CUGGUUGAUCCUGCCAGUAGUCAUAUGCUUGUCUCAAAGACUAAGCCAUGCAUGUCUAAGUAUAAGUAUUAUACAGCGAAACUGCGAAUGGCUCAUUAAAACAGUUAUAGUUUAUUUGACAAUCGAAUUUACAUGGAUAACCGUGGUAAUUCUAGAGCUAAUACAUGCUGGUGUGCCCGACUUUUGCGGAAGGGCGGUAUUUAUUAGAUAACAAGCCAAUAUUCCUCUGGUCUAUUGUGGUGAUUCAUAAUAACUGAUCGAAUCGCAAGGCCUGUGGCCGCGAUAAGUCAUUCAAGUUUCUGCCCCAUCAGCUUUCGAUGGUAGUGUAUUGGACUACCAUGGCGUUCACGGGUAACGGAGGAUUAGGGUUCGAUUCCGGAGAGGGAGCCUGAGAAACGGCUACCACAUCUAAGGAAGGCAGCAGGUGCGUAAAUUACCCAAUCCUGACUCAGGGAGGUAGUGACAAGAAAUAACGGACCGAGGCCCUCGGGCUUCGGGAUUGCAAUGAGCCGAAUUUACACCCCUUAGCGAGGAUCCAUUGGAGGGCAAGUCUGG
Molecule: ribosomal RNA, 555 nt
Filed under: uncultured eukaryote
Lineage: Eukaryota
Description: SSU rRNA
Rfam family: Eukaryotic small subunit ribosomal RNA
Source: RNAcentral